RNAcentral lists this ribosomal RNA (105 nucleotides) under uncultured bacterium. Its description in RNAcentral is "partial 16S ribosomal RNA". The record is from RNAcentral.
CGUUACACACCGCCCGUCACACCACUGGGAGGUUGGUUUUACCUUGAAGAUGGUGCGCUAACCGCAAGGAGGCAGCCGGCCACGGUAGGGUCAGCGACUGGGGUG